GAUCCUGGCUCAGGAUGAACGCUAGCGACAGGCUUAACACAUGCAAGUCGAGGGGCAGCACGGUGUAGCAAUACACUGGUGGCGACCGGCGCACGGGUGAGUAACACGUGUGCAACCAACCCCGUACCGGGAGAUAACCCGCGGAAACGUGGACUAACAUCCCAUGACACUCUAGAGCCGCAUGGCUCUAGAUUUAAAAUUCCGGUGGUACGGGACGGGCACGCGCGACAUUAGGUAGUUGGCGGGGGUAAGGG
This 254-nucleotide ribosomal RNA is filed under the name uncultured bacterium. RNAcentral's name for it is "partial 16S ribosomal RNA". It matches the Rfam family "Bacterial small subunit ribosomal RNA", at positions 15 to 263 of the family's 1533-position model. The record is from RNAcentral.